RNAcentral lists this ribosomal RNA (512 nucleotides) under uncultured bacterium. Its description in RNAcentral is "partial 16S ribosomal RNA". It matches the Rfam family "Bacterial small subunit ribosomal RNA", at positions 28 to 507 of the family's 1533-position model. The record is from RNAcentral.
GAUGAACGCUGGCGGCGUGCCUAAUACAUGCAAGUCGAACGAAACUUCUUUAUCACCGAGUGCUUGCACUCACCGAUAAAGAGUUGAGUGGCGAACGGGUGAGUAACACGUGGGCAACCUGCCCAAAAGAGGGGGAUAACACUUGGAAACAGGUGCUAAUACCGCAUAACCAUAGUUACCGCAUGGUAACUAUGUAAAAGGUGGCUAUACUACCGCUUUUGGAUGGGCCCGCGGCGCAUUAGCUAGUUGGUAGGGUAAAGGCUUACCAAGGCAAUGAUGCGUAGCCGAAUUGAGAGGUUGAUCAGCCACAUUGGGACUGAGACACGGCCCAAACUCCUACGGGAGGCAGCAGUAGGGAAUCUUCCACAAUGGGCGAAAGCCUGAUGGAGCAACGCCGCGUGGGUGAAGAAGGUCUUCGGAUCGUAAAACCCUGUUGUUAGAGAAGAAAGUGCGUGAGAGUAACUGUUCACGUUUCGACGGUAUCUAACCAGAAAGCCACGGCUAACUACGUG